Molecule: long non-coding RNA, 404 nt
Organism: Prionailurus viverrinus (fishing cat)
Lineage: Eukaryota; Metazoa; Chordata; Mammalia; Carnivora; Felidae
Exons: 4
Source: RefSeq, a predicted model, not a curated record
AUGAUGUGUUCCAUGAAAGUAUAUUUUCCAGACAACUGAAAUUUACUUCCUAAGGCAAAGACCCUGAGAAGCAUUCCAGGAGCAAAGCAGUAGAAAGGAAGAAGAGCACCAAACCAUUCAUUGAGGUCUCUCGGGGCAGGAUGAGGGGGAAAUGUGAACAAAAGCAACAGCUCUCUUCAGUUUCCACAAUGUCCGGCGACCCCAAGACUUUCGAGCUCUUUCUUGAGGGCCAGCAGGCAGCUCGCGAACACAAACCCGGGGCCAGCCGCCUACUGCUGCUGCUGCCGCUGCCGCCGCCGCCGCCACCGCUGCCUCCGCCGGCUCUGCGCACCCGGGACUUUUCAUGCACCACACUCACCGCCUCCUUCCCUCCGUGUCCUGAAAAGUGCGACCGUUCUCCCAAG